Molecule: ribosomal RNA, 430 nt
Filed under: uncultured bacterium
Lineage: Bacteria
Description: bacterial SSU rRNA
Rfam family: Bacterial small subunit ribosomal RNA
Source: RNAcentral
GUGGGGAAUAUUGCACAAUGGGCGCAAGCCUGAUGCAGCAACGCCGCGUGAGGGACGACGGCCUUCGGGUUGUAAACCUCUUUUAGCAGGGAAGAAGCGAAAGUGACGGUACCUGCAGAAAAAGCACCGGCUAACUACGUGCCAGCAGCCGCGGUAAUACGUAGGGUGCAAGCGUUGUCCGGAAUUAUUGGGCGUAAAGAGCUCGUAGGCGGUUUGUCGCGUCUGCUGUGAAAACCCGAGGCUCAACCUCGGGCCUGCAGUGGGUACGGGCAGACUAGAGUGCGGUAGGGGAGAUUGGAAUUCCUGGUGUAGCGGUGGAAUGCGCAGAUAUCAGGAGGAACACCGAUGGCGAAGGCAGAUCUCUGGGCCGUAACUGACGCUGAGGAGCGAAAGCGUGGGGAGCGAACAGGAUUAGAUACCCCGGUAGUCC